GGAGAGGGCUAGCGUUAUUCGGAAUUAUUGGGCGUAAAGGGCGCGUAGGCGGAUUAGUAAGUUAAAAGUGAAAUCCCAAGGCUCAACCUUGGAAUUGCUUUUAAAACUGCUAAUCUAGAGAUUGAAAGAGGAUAGAGGAAUUCCAGGUGUAGCGGUGAAAUUCGUAAAUAUUAGGAGGAACACCAGUGGCGAAGGCGUCUAUCUGGUUCAAAUCUGACGCUGAGGCGCGAAGGCGUGGGGAGCAAACAGGAUUAGAUACCCUGGUAGUCCACGCUGUAAACGAUGAAUGUUAAAUAUGGGGAGUUUACUUUCUGUAUUACAGCUAACGCGUUAAACAUUCCGCCUGGGGACUACGGUCGCAAGGUUAAAACUCAAAUGAAUUGACGGGGGCCCGCACAAGCGGUGGAGCAUGUGGUUUAAUUCGAUGCAACGCGAAGAACCUUACCUACUCUUGACAUCCAGAGAACUUAGCAGAGAUGCUUUGGUGCCUUCGGGAACUCUGAGACAGGUGC
This 512-nucleotide ribosomal RNA is filed under the name bacterium symbiont of Megymenum gracilicorne. RNAcentral describes it as "bacterial SSU rRNA". It matches the Rfam family "Bacterial small subunit ribosomal RNA", at positions 527 to 1041 of the family's 1533-position model. The record is from RNAcentral.